This 496-nucleotide ribosomal RNA is filed under the name Seira sp. 2 FZ-2013. RNAcentral's name for it is "partial 16S ribosomal RNA". It matches the Rfam family "Bacterial large subunit ribosomal RNA", at positions 1831 to 2597 of the family's 2925-position model. Lineage: Eukaryota; Metazoa; Arthropoda; Collembola; Entomobryomorpha; Entomobryidae. The record is from RNAcentral.
UUUUUUUAGGGCUUAUAAAAAGUAUAGCCUGCCCACUGUAAAUAAAUAAAGGGCCGCGGUAUUUUGACCGUGCUAAGGUAGCAUAAUCAUUUGUUUCUUAAUUAGAAAAUUGUAUGAAUGGCUGAACAAACAUUUUUUUUAUUUGUGUUAAUUUAUUGAAAUUUAAUUUUUAAUGAAAAUGUUGAAAUUCUCUUAAAAGACGAUAAGACCCUAUAGAGCUUAAUUUUACUUGAUUUGGGGGGAUUUGGGGGAAUUCCCCCAAAUCAAGUAAAAUUUAGUUGGGGCAAUAGCAGAAUAAGUUUAACUUCUGUUUCAAGGAAUUAUAAUUUUUGUUUUUAUCUUUUUUUAAGGUUACGAACAAGUUACCUUAGGGAUAACAGCGUUAAAAUUUUUGAGAGCCCAGAUCGACAAAGUUUUUUGCGACCUCGAUGUUGAAUUAUGAAUUCUACUCAAAGCAGCAUUUGAGUAAGAUAGCCUGUUCGACUAUGAAAUUCUU